Long non-coding RNA from Sapajus apella (tufted capuchin), 1243 nucleotides. RefSeq lists it as uncharacterized. NCBI's taxonomy places the organism in Eukaryota, Metazoa, Chordata, Mammalia, Primates, Cebidae. The transcript has 2 exons. The record is from RefSeq and is a predicted model, not a curated record.
CCAUGCCCAGCUAAUUUUUGUAUUUUCAGUAGAGAAGGGUUUCACCAUAUUGGCCAGGCUAGUCUUGAACUCCUGACCUCGUGAUUCACCCGCCUCAGCCUCCCAAACUGCUGACAUUAACAGGCGUGAGUCACAACACCUGGCCAGGGACUUAUUUCUACCUGGCCUCUUUGAAAUAAAAAUCAUGCUCCUCCUCUGGUUUUCCCCAUCUCAGGAAAUGGGCCCUCCUUUGUCUUGCUGUGGGGGGUCCCCUCCCACAUUCUGGCUGCCUCUCCUUGCCAAUCCCAGCCCAGUCCCCUGCGGGCUGACCCCUGCGGCUCUCUGAGUACCCGUCUUAAGGAGCAUGCCCAGAUGCCCACGCCCAACCCACCUGCUGUGUCACAUCUUUCUUCUUUUUAGGGUCCCUCUGUCUCCUUUAUCAGAAGCAAAGCUGCAUGAGGGCAGGGUUUGUUUUGUUUGCUUGAGAUGAUGUCUUGCUCUGUCUGUCGCCGGGCUGUAGUGCAGUGGCACAAUCUCAGCUCACUGCAAGGGUUGUUUAUCUACUUGGCUCACAGGAAUAGUUGUAGAAAAGAUGAAGGUCGUUCUCUGCUCUCCACAAGCUACAGCCUUGUCCUUGACACAAAGCAGGAGAAAAUGCUGAGAGCUGACCACUCCUGCCUAUGAGGCCCCUUCCUAUCCCCUGGGUCCCUGGUCACUGGAUAAAGCCCAGCUCCACCUCUGACCUGGUCAGCCAAGGCUGGGCUAGCCAAGGCCCGGCAGGGGCCACAAGUUGCCACAUGCAGGGUGGUGGCCAGACAUCAGCCCCAUCCCUGCCCCCUCUUCCCAUACCCCUGUUGUGCGGGGCUCUCUGGAACAGACACCUGCCCAGCCAAAUCCAGCGGUGUGUCCAGGUUGCUAUCACUGCCUGUACCAGCUACUGCUGGGCCAGUGUCCACCCCCAGGCCAGGCUUCCCAAGGGUGCCUAAAUCUGGGUCUCAGCUGCAUCAGCAAGAGGGGGACAGUCAUAAGACCCUCCUCAGCCUCUCAGGAGGACUCUGAGCUCAUCACUGGAAGGCACCUAGAGCCCCAGAGCUCUCUGAACAUGUUAGCUACAGUCAUUUUUGCUAUUUCCCAGGCACUGCUGUAGUCCUGAAAAUACGGGAAUGAACAAGACAGCAAAAUAUCUGCUGCCAUAGAGUGAGAUUAUAUUGUAGUUAGGGAAUGGAAGAAAGUGGAUCUGUAUACAGAUAAUGGAGAAAAAAUU